AUUGAACGCUGGCGGCAUGCCUUACACAUGCAAGUCGAACGGUAACAGGUCUUCGGAUGCUGACGAGUGGCGAACGGGUGAGUAAUACAUCGGAACGUGCCCAGCCGUUGGGGAUAACGAGGCGAAAGCUUUGCUAAUACCGCAUACGAUCUAAGGAUGAAAGCAGGGGACCGCAAGGCCUUGCGCGUUUGGAGCGGCCGAUGGCAGAUUAGGUAGUUGGUGGGAUAAAAGCUUACCAAGCCGACGAUCUGUAGCUGGUCUGAGAGGACGACCAGCCACACUGGGACUGAGACACGGCCCAGACUCCUACGGGAGGCAGCAGUGGGGAAUUUUGGACAAUGGGCGAAAGCCUGAUCCAGCAAUGCCGCGUGCAGGAUGAAGGCGUUCGGGUUGUAAACUGCUUUUGUACGGAACGAAAAGGCUCUGGCUAAUACCUGGGGCACAUGACGGUACCGGAAGAAUAAGCACCGGCUAACUACGUG
This 482-nucleotide ribosomal RNA is filed under the name uncultured bacterium. RNAcentral describes it as "partial 16S ribosomal RNA". It matches the Rfam family "Bacterial small subunit ribosomal RNA", at positions 30 to 507 of the family's 1533-position model. The record is from RNAcentral.